AAGAUCCACCUGCCUCUGCCUCCUGAGUGCUGGGAUUAAAGGCGUGCGCCACCACCGCCCGGCCAAUAUUUCAUUUUCUAUCACAGGCGAACUCCCUCUUUCCUAGAUCCUAAAUAGCUGAGCAAUGGACACAUCUGAAUUCCGAGAGAAUUCUGGAGAACUUUGGAAUACACAGCUCUUCUUGAUGGGGGCAGGAACUUUAUUCCAAGUCACUUAAGGUUUUCAGGAAGCCAUCACGGCAAUUCCACUUCCUCCUCUGGGAAAACUGAGGCUCCGCGGUGUGCUCGCUGCCACCUCAAGGUGGAGUGUUUCUGCCUGAAGUGAUUACAUUAUUCUUUCCUGCGAUGCAGUGUGUGCCUUCUGUCCCUGCCGCUGCCUGGGGCCCAAAGGCUUCUGGGUAAAGAAGUGGGCGGGCAUUGCACAAGGCAGCAACGGUCUCUGGGUGGAGCAGUUGACAAUCGCAGUUGGUGGGCGGUGCUACUGCUUGGGCGUGGAGGAUUGUGGGCUCUGGGAUGUUAUUUCAGCCUUGCUAUUUUGGGAGAUUCUGGAAAGUUCAGGACAAGGGAGGGUGGCUCUUGUUGGUCAUGACCCAUGGAAGUAUCUUAUAGGCUGCCUCUGCUUCUUGGACCACGGCAAUGUGUGUGAACAGCUGCUGUCUACUGUACUCUGCUGCCACCACGACCUUGUGCUCAAGCUCACAUGGCCAAGGAAGGAUUAAACUUUUCAUCUAUAAUUUAGAAGCAAAGCUCAUCACAAAAUGAAGCCAGUAAAACACGUAUCACUCGCUAGCAAUAAACUAGAAGAUGUUACAGAAAUACCCAAUGAAAAAGGACUAAACGAUUCAUGGCUGUCAUCUAAACCAAAGAAAAACACUGAACAAAAUCACUUGAGGAGAAGAUUGGAGCAGUUGUCCUAACAUCUGGACCCACUGGAGAACUCACUGCAUGAUGCACUUUGCCCAUGAUCUCUAGGAAGACAACGGAACAAACAAUAAAAGUGAAAUGCCUGGAAGAUGACCAGCUCCAGAAGAUGGGGAGACACCACAUGGUUCCCAUGCUGUGGGAGUUCCCACAGUGGUACCAGGUCUGGUGAUUGUCCAGCAGGAUAUACAGGAUUCAGCUCACAGUUUAGACCUGGAUAAGAUUUAUUACAGAGGAAUGGAAGGUGGUUUAUCUGAGGAAAGGAGAGCCAAGCCUACAAGAUCUCACAGAACAUGCUUAAUUUCUCUGACAGUGAUUUUUGAAAACUUUUGUGAUAUGUGAACCUGUGAAGAACAUUAUAAAGAAAUGCAGUACUCAGAGUUUAUUGGAAAUCUGUCUCAUAGAUGUCCUGUUCAUAAUUUCUAUGGUGGAAGAAACUAUAGAUUUAGCAGUGAAAAUGGAGACAAAUCAUGAAGCUUUGUUUCUUCAUCUGGAGAGUCUGCCAGAAAGUGUAUGGUAAAGAAGACUCUGCUUUGCUUGACACAUGCUAUGAGGAGCCCCACAAUCAAUAGUUGCUUCCCAGAGGAACCCUGAAGAGGGAAGUUUUGAGUGAUUUACAGAACCGAGGCAUCAUCUACUGCUACUCAUAGAUGUUCUCAUAGCUCUACUCCUCAGCUCCAUGGUACUGCAGAUGGUUGCUGUCUCUGCUGUCCAUGUCCACAGGAAGCCGAAGAUCUGACUUCUUGUUUGGUUCUAUCGACAAUCCACCGAGCCUGUGUGGGUCUGAGUCAGGUGAUACUUCACAAAUCAUGGGAAUCUGAAAAUGGAGAUUUGCACAAAGAAAUGAAAUGUGUUCAAUUGUCUUUCACUCUGGGACCAACAACUACAAGCUCCAAGGCCUGAGCCAGCCUGCAUCAUCUGUAGCCUCUUUUGUCUUUGGUGGGCUACUCUGACUGGGAAGAGUACUUCAUGCAGAAGAUCAUCUCCCUUUGCCCAGAAUCAUGAAGAUGGACAGAGGAGCAAUCAGCCCUUCUCCACCAUCCUUGCUUCACCUCCAGUCUCCAUUUUCUGUUAUCUGUCACAUUCCUCAGAAAGAAGAUGCUGUGGGAAUUGUCUUCUCAGGUGAUAGGGAGACAAGACAUAGUAACUAUAAAAUACAGCAGUACCACCAGGCCCCAGAUGUCCACAUCAAGUCCAUCAUACACCAUUCCUAAAGAGCUCAGGUGUACAACAUGCAAUGGUACCACAGAAGGCCUUCAACUUCUCCCCAGGGAUCACUGUUUCUGUCAGCUACAAUUGAUCAUGGAAGGAAACUUCCUUUUCGGAAAUGAUGGUGUGUGACAGAGACUCAACCACUGAUGAAGAUCCUGAGAAUGAGUGACUAUUACUGUGGCAUAGUGGCUGAAUACUUAAUCAGAAGCACACAUCAAUAUCACCCUCUCCAAGGCUCAGGGAACAUUGCAGAAGAGGGGACGGAAAGAUUGUGAGAGCCAGAGGAAGGGGUGGAAUAUUGUGUACCAUUUGUUUGUUUGUUGUUUUUCCCAGAAUUGAAAUGUUUCCUCUAGAAGGGAGGUGAGAGGCUCACCCAACUCAAGAAAUAAACAACUCACAAAUCUGAGGAAGUUCCUGAAGCUAAAAAGAUUCACAAGAUCCCCUCCCCAAGGUUAUAGAUAUAAGAAACAACUGCUGGGGGAGAGAUUCUCCUAAAUAUGGAGGUUUGCUGUUUGCAAACCCUGUAGAGAGUUAUCACCUAUGAGGCAUGGUCAUUUCAGUGCUGUAGUUGCUUGAGUCACUCAUACUCUUGCAAGUAAACCCAUAUUUUUGUAAAUAAAUCUAAUAAACACAUUGGUUUAUCA
This is a non-coding RNA of Peromyscus maniculatus bairdii (prairie deer mouse), 2776 nucleotides long. NCBI's taxonomy places the organism in Eukaryota, Metazoa, Chordata, Mammalia, Rodentia, Cricetidae. The record is from RefSeq and is a predicted model, not a curated record.